CAGCAGGGAUAAAUCAGUUCAGCUUAAUCGAUUUGAUGGAGCUAGCCCAGGAUCUGGCCCUAACAUUUACCCCCAGUGCUACAGGAGAUACAACAGUUAUUCCUUAGAGCCAGGGUGCAACUGAUGGCUUUGACAUAGCACUGCACUCCUGGAACUGGAGAUCCUGGCCUGGAGUCUCACUGACUGGUCUCUUUAGCCUUCUCCCAGCUGGGAGGGGGACACCUGACAGCGGGGCUGUUUGCUGAGGGAAAACCCAGAGCUCAACUAGGGCCCCCAGGGUUUUAUGCUGCCCCCUGUCACUGUAGUAUCUGAACGCCCUAAAGCCAGUAGCAAAGUCUCCAGUGGAUUUAAUGGCGUCUCUGGCACUUCUCUCUUUCCAGAGUAAAAACUCUGCUUGGGGUGGUCAGGCUCCGUUGGCCUGGUCUUUCCUGGAAGUUUUGUUCCAUAGCCAGAUCCCCUCAACCAAAUGAAGCUACCUCUGAACUCAAGGGACUGCAAGGACUUGGUGCCGGGAUCCUGGUGAAAUCCCCUGAGGAGAUCUUGACAGAGAAGAGGAAACUGUACCUUGGUCUUACCUGGGAAGGAGGAUCCAAUAAAAAGGGAGAAGAGGAACCAAAUCCACCUACUGCCUGUCCCGAUCUCCUGAUAUGGCCAACAAGAGACACAGCUGAGAUGAAGUAUUGACACUGACACUUAUCGAUAUACACAGUCUCUCUAGCUGGGAAAACACACCUCUCUUGGAGCACCCAACAGCUGUCAUCAGGAUCAGAGUCCCAUUGCUCUAGUACAGAAAGACAGAGCCCCUGCCUUAAAGAGUUCACUAGUUUGAAACAAGACAUGAAUGUAACCAGAUGAGGGAAUUGGGGAGGAAGCAUUAGAGGAGCCAUGAGACGAUCACACUAUUGCAUAGACCAGAUAGUACCUGAGUCAUAAACAAGGUGCAUUGGUCAAAAAAUGCAGGAGGGAGGGAAAUUGAAAAUCAAAUGAAACAAAUAAAUCCAAGAAAAUGUUCUCCACUUUUGGUCAACAUUUUGAAGCCGUUGAAAUUUUUCAGCAAGCUGAUUUGUUUGAUCUCUGUAAUCUCAGGGCUCCAUGAAUCUCAAUGACCCCGGCCAUCUAAAAUUGGCUAGUUUCUUGAAGGUGGCCCGGGCUGAGAGAGUGAAGGAGGAAAGGAUUGUGACUCAGUUCAGGGAGGGUGUUUUGUGUCUGGAAGGAAUUGCAGUGAUAUUUGUGAGACGAGUGGAGAAAUGCCUGGGUGACCGACGAGCCAAUCCCAUGCAAAGUGAUGUUUUGUUGCGCAGAGUAGUUCAUUGAACUGUAUUGACUGAUCUAGGAUUGAUUUCCUGCUGUCAGGACUAAAAGAAAAACCUAUUUUACCUCCCUUAUGGAAAGAUCCUGUCGACUCUAUUAUCAAAUGAUCUCCUCCCCAUUGGCUUUGGAUCAUCCUCUAGAAUUUAAUCCAAAAUGAGAUCUCUGCUAGAGAAUUCUAGGUGGGGGGGAGGGGCAGUCCCAAAAACCUAUAGCAAAGUUCUCUCUGUUAAAUUCUGUUGGUUUUUACAGGGAUUUUUAUUGAACUCUCUUAGAUUGCUAUAGAAUCCUAUUGAUUUCUUCCCCGUUAAAUUAUAUAGGGAUUUGCAUAAAGACAGGUCUGCUGAGUUCUGAGUAAGUUUUCUGUUUUGAAAGAGUCCCAGUUAUUUAGGCUAUUGCAUAAUUACAGCCUUCACAUACGUUCUUUGAGCCGAAUGAUUAGUGUUAUUUGGACUCUUGUUAUGAGAAUACUGGCCAAGCUUUUCCAAAGUGACUAGUGGUUUCGGGUGGGCCCUGGUUUUGGGUGCCCUGGAGGGCUGGUUUUCGGAGAGUGGGUGCGCAGCACUUUCUGAACAUCAGACUCCUUUUUAAGAAGUCUCAGAUUGGGCUCCUGUAAAAUGGAAGUCCCCCAAUUGCUUUGGAAUACUUGUACCAGCGAUGCACACACACAACACAUCUGAGAGAGACCCGCCACGUCCCACCGUCCCCCAUAAGCAUUUAAACUAACCCUUGUUUUUUAAUAUAUUGCAAAGAUAAGGAGCUGGGUGAAGCAGCCUACGGUACCUGGGUGUCCCAGAGGAGGGAUGGUGCUUAGGUUGGAGUUCCCACCUGUGGCUAAAAGUUCU
Mauremys mutica (yellowpond turtle) is the source of this 2153-nucleotide long non-coding RNA. RefSeq lists it as uncharacterized. The transcript is spliced from 3 exons. NCBI's taxonomy places the organism in Eukaryota, Metazoa, Chordata, Testudines, Geoemydidae. The record is from RefSeq and is a predicted model, not a curated record.